This 178-nucleotide ribosomal RNA is filed under the name uncultured soil bacterium. RNAcentral's name for it is "partial 16S ribosomal RNA". It matches the Rfam family "Bacterial small subunit ribosomal RNA", at positions 26 to 216 of the family's 1533-position model. The record is from RNAcentral.
AGCCUGAACGCUGGCGGCGUGGCUAAGACAUGCAAGUCGCACGGGGUAGCAAUACCCAGUGGCGAACGGGAGAGUAAUGAAUCGCUAACGUACCCCGGACUCUGGGAUAGCUAUCCGAAAGGGUAGGUAAUACCAGAUGACAUCACUUCCAGGCAUCUGAGGUGCUCAAAGGUCCGCC